GUCGGUCGGACUGAAGGAACCAAAUAGUUUGCCAACCUUUUUGCGCGCUGUUCCCGCUUGUGUGGUGCUGGAAUCGCACGUGGGAAUCCCUGGCUUCGGAGGAUGGAUGGAUUUAAGACAGAGGAGUGAGUCUGCUGAGGCGAGCAGGCGCUGACUCUCACUGAGCUCCUUUUCCCUCUGAACAAACUGCUCAGACUCGUCCCUCACCAUGUCCUGGUUGUUGGCCAUUUGGAUUAGCCUCGGCUUCCUGCUGUUGUGCCAGGCCACACUCUACCAGACCAUCCAGCAGCACCACGUGGCCCGGCCCGGACGCACCGACAUUCUCACCCUGGAGGGAGGCACUUGCGAGGUGAUCGCCGCCCACCGAUGCUGUAACAAGAACCGCAUUGAGGAGCGCUCUCAGACCGUCAAGUGUUCCUGUUUACCGGGGAAAGUGGCCGGGACGACGCGGAACAAACCCUCCUGCGUGGAUGCGUCCAUUGUGAUUGGGAAAUGGUGGUGUGAGAUGGAGCCAUGUCUGGAGGGAGAAGAGUGUAAGACACUGCCUGACAACUCUGGAUGGAUGUGCUCCUCUGGGAACAAAAUCAAGACCACAAGAAAUACCCAGCCAUACUCCCCUUUUUAGCUUCUGGAAGCAAAAUGCAGAGGAUGGGUCAACAGAAAUUGAGCUGCAUUCUUGCUUCUGUAAAGAUCCAUCCCAGGACCUAACAGAGGGCUCCCGCUGCAGGGCCGCGUGCCAGGCUCUCCCCUUCAUCUACCCCUUUCUCCUCCUGCCGAAACGGACUAAAAAAACUAUUACAUCCACGUCUGCUGACUGGAUUACCUGGGACCACAGAAAGGAUAUCCACCCAGAUAAAACAGGCUUUGCUCGCGUGGUGCCAAGGAUUUGAAACCAGACUAAUCCCCCUGUUUGAUCAAUGAGCCCCAUGUUGGUGACUCUCCUCUUCCACGCGGCUGUGGCCAGUUUCCGACCCGCGCUCGCUCUCUCCGUUUCUCUCUCUGUCUCUCGGUGUUUUCGUCCCUCGGUCCCCCUCUGCAAAACUGAAGCAGCUUAGCAGGGGUUAUUUAGAGGUUGUUAAAACAUUAUUUGAAGACAUUCGCACUGCCUGAAGGUAAACCGGUUUAGCAGCUUACAUGAGACUGAACAUAUUGGAUCCACAGAACUGAGGGCAAACCGGGG
RNA transcript from Pungitius pungitius (ninespine stickleback), 1180 nucleotides. It is a transcript of the gene named chemokine-like protein TAFA-1, with no coding region annotated. NCBI's taxonomy places the organism in Eukaryota, Metazoa, Chordata, Actinopteri, Perciformes, Gasterosteidae. The transcript has 6 exons. The record is from RefSeq and is a predicted model, not a curated record.